ACCGGCGAACGGGUGCGUAACACGUGAGCAAUCUGCCGUACACUGGGGGAUAGCCGGCCCAACGGCCGGGUAAUACCGCAUACGCUCCUUUGGCGGCAUCGCUGAGGGAGGAAACCUCCGGGGGUGUACGAGGAGCUCGCGGCCUAUCAGGUAGUUGGUGGGGUCACGGCCUACCAAGCCAUUGACGGGUAGCUGGUCUGAGAGGAUGGCCAGCCACAUUGGGACUGAGAUACGGCCCAGACUCCUACGGGAGGCAGCAGUGGGGAAUAUUGCGCAAUGGCCGCAAGGCUGACGCAGCGACGCCGCGUGGGGGAUGAAGCAUUUCGGUGUGUAAACCCCUGUUGCUCGGGACGAACAGCUCUUUUCGAGGAGCCUGACGGUACCGGGUGAGGAAGCACCGGCUAACUCCGUGCCAGCAGCCGCGGUAAUACGGAGGGUGCGAGCGUUGUCCGGAAUCACUGGGCGUAAAGGGCGCGUAGGUGGUCUGCUAAGCGUGCGGUGAAAGCCCGGGGCUCAACCCCGGGUCGGCCGUGCGAACUGGUGGACUGGAGCACUGUAGAGGCAGGUGGAAUUCCGGGUGUAGCGGUGGAAUGCGUAGAGAUCCGGAAGAACACCGGUGGCGAAGGCGGCCUGCUGGGCAGUUGCUGACACUGAGGCGCGACAGCGUGGGGAGCAAACAGGAUUAGAUACCCUGGUAGUC
This 700-nucleotide ribosomal RNA is filed under the name uncultured bacterium. RNAcentral describes it as "bacterial SSU rRNA". It matches the Rfam family "Bacterial small subunit ribosomal RNA", at positions 94 to 795 of the family's 1533-position model. The record is from RNAcentral.